GGCGCCGCGGCGGCCGCGGAGCCCGGGGACCCCGCCCAGGUGAGCGGGGCUGGCCGUGCAGCCCGUCGUCCCCGCCGCCUCCCCACCCCACGCCGAGGUUCCCGUGGCGAGGGCGGGCACUGGGCGCGGGGCGACAGGGUCGUGCCGAGGACCGUCGGCUCGGCUCCGGUGCUGGAAGCGUAGACUUCGGCCCCAAUCCUCUGGCCCGGUUCGCGGAGGGAAGGGGCCAGCAGGCUGCUUGCCCCCUCGUCAGGGGCUCCCCUGCUCCUUCUCUAGAGAGCCCGCAAGCCCCGGGGUCGCCGGCGUCCAGACCUGCCCGCGCCAGAGCUGUGGACCGAGCUGACCGGCCUGAUCGGCAGCUCCGAGCCUGAAAAUGGGUCGGAAAGCGGAGCCGAGGGCCGCGCAGCAGCUGUGUCCCUGGAGGAGGCCCUCCUGCGCCUCGCCGAGUUCCUCUCCGUCCAGCUGGGGGCGGAAGAGAGCUGCGGGAGCCCGGCCGACCUGGGCCAGUCUGGCGAGGUCCCCCCACUGUUGACAGUGACCAGUCAGCUCUUGGCCCUUCUGGCAUGGCUUCGGAGCCCCAGGGGGAGGCAGGCCCUGCUCCAGGGAACUCAGCCAGCCCCUCGGGUCCGGCCCCCCACUCCAGAUGGAUCCACAUCCCAAGAAGAAAGCACUUCCCACCUCGCCGCAGUCCCAGGGGAGCCACUGGGGGAUGAGGCCCAGGGACAGCAGCCCCUCCAGUUGGAGGACGACCAGAGAGAGUGGCAGCGGCUGGAACAGCUCAUCCUCGGACAGCUGGAGGAGCUGAAGCAGCAGCUGGAACAGCAGGAGGAGGAGCUGGGUCGACUGCGCCUGGGCGUGGGGGCGACAGACUCAGAGAAAAGGGUUCAGCAUCUCACUCUGGAGAACGAGGCCCUGAAGCAGAGCCUGAGCCUCAUGCGGGACCUUCUGCUGCACUGGGGUCCCGGCCCCCCUACCAGGGCUCCGCAGGAGGAGGCGGAGGCAUUGGUGGAGCUUCAGGGCCGGCUUCAGGAGGCCCAGGACACCACAGAAGCCCUCCGAGCCCAGCUGGGGGUGCAGGAGGUGCAGCUGCAGGGCCUUCAAGGGGCCCUCCAGCAGCUCCAGCAGGAGACGGAGCAGAACUGCAGGCGAGAGUUACUGCAGAUGCAUGGGCAGCUGGCAGGACUUCGGGCACGGAUGGCCAGCCUGCGUCAGGGCUGCGGCGAUCUCCGAGGAUUGGUCAGCACCUUUACCCAGAGCUGUCAGGGUUCGCUGAGUGAGGCCCGGGGCCAGGUCAGGACCCCUCACCGCCUAGCCCCUCCUCUCUGGGCAGCCUAUUCACUGUUCUUUUGACGGGGGUGCUCCUGGGGAGUUGGCUGUACUAAUAAGUGGGGCUCUGGAACCCAAACAGCUUCUGUGUGACCCAGGCUGGGACUUCGCUUCUGGGUCUGGUUUUCAUCAUGUGCAUACUUGGGUGACAGUAAACUCUUUUUUUUUUCAAUUUUAAUAAUAAAUUUUAUUUAUUCUAAUAGAUCUCUUUUUUUUUUUUGAGACGGAGUCUCGCUGUGUCGCCCAGGCUGGAGUGCAGUGGUGCGAUCUCGGCUCGCUGCAAGCUCUGCCUCCUGGGUUCACGCCAUUCUCCUGCCUCAGCCUCCAAGUA
RNAcentral lists this long non-coding RNA (1657 nucleotides) under Rhinopithecus bieti (black snub-nosed monkey). RNAcentral describes it as "lncRNA (ENSRBIG00000045359.1)". The record is from RNAcentral. Lineage: Eukaryota; Metazoa; Chordata; Mammalia; Primates; Cercopithecidae.